RNAcentral lists this ribosomal RNA (753 nucleotides) under uncultured bacterium. Its description in RNAcentral is "bacterial SSU rRNA". It matches the Rfam family "Bacterial small subunit ribosomal RNA", at positions 21 to 772 of the family's 1533-position model. The record is from RNAcentral.
GGCCGCGGCUCUUCCAUUCAGGCCUAACACAUGCAAGUCGAGCGGUAGACAGAACCUUGCUUCUCUUGAGAGCGGCGGACGGGUGAGUAAUGCCUAGGAAUCUGCCUGGUAGUGGGGGAUAACGUUCGGAAACGGACGCUAAUACCGCAUACGUCCUACGGGAGAAAGCAGGGGACCUUCGGGCCUUGCGCUAUCAGAUGAGCCUAGGUCGGAUUAGCUAGUUGGUGAGGUAAUGGCUCACCAAGGCUACGAUCCGUAACUGGUCUGAGAGGAUGAUCAGUCACACUGGAACUGAGACACGGUCCAGACUCCUACGGGAGGCAGCAGUGGGGAUUAUUGGACAAUGGGCGAAAGCCUGAUCCAGCCAUGCCGCGUGUGUGAAGAAGGUCUUCGGAUUGUAAAGCACUUUAAGUUGGGAGGAAGGGCAUUAACCUAAUACGUUAGUGUUUUGACGUUACCGACAGAAUAAGCACCGGCUAACUCUGUGCCAGCAGCCGCGGUAAUACAGAGGGUGCAAGCGUUAAUCGGAAUUACUGGGCGUAAAGCGCGCGUAGGUGGUUUGUUAAGUUGGAUGUGAAAUCCCCGGGCUCAACCUGGGAACUGCAUUCAAAACUGACUGACUAGAGUAUGGUAGAGGGUGGUGGAAUUUCCUGUGUAGCGGUGAAAUGCGUAGAUAUAGGAAGGAACACCAGUGGCGAAGGCGACCACCUGGACUAAUACUGACACUGAGGUGCGAAAAGCGUGGGGAGCAAA